Molecule: ribosomal RNA, 2903 nt
Filed under: Escherichia coli
Lineage: Bacteria; Pseudomonadati; Pseudomonadota; Gammaproteobacteria; Enterobacterales; Enterobacteriaceae
Description: 23S ribosomal RNA
Rfam family: Bacterial large subunit ribosomal RNA
Source: RNAcentral
GGUUAAGCGACUAAGCGUACACGGUGGAUGCCCUGGCAGUCAGAGGCGAUGAAGGACGUGCUAAUCUGCGAUAAGCGUCGGUAAGGUGAUAUGAACCGUUAUAACCGGCGAUUUCCGAAUGGGGAAACCCAGUGUGUUUCGACACACUAUCAUUAACUGAAUCCAUAGGUUAAUGAGGCGAACCGGGGGAACUGAAACAUCUAAGUACCCCGAGGAAAAGAAAUCAACCGAGAUUCCCCCAGUAGCGGCGAGCGAACGGGGAGCAGCCCAGAGCCUGAAUCAGUGUGUGUGUUAGUGGAAGCGUCUGGAAAGGCGCGCGAUACAGGGUGACAGCCCCGUACACAAAAAUGCACAUAUUGUGAGCUCGAUGAGUAGGGCGGGACACGUGGUAUCCUGUCUGAAUAUGGGGGGACCAUCCUCCAAGGCUAAAUACUCCUGACUGACCGAUAGUGAACCAGUACCGUGAGGGAAAGGCGAAAAGAACCCCGGCGAGGGGAGUGAAAAAGAACCUGAAACCGUGUACGUACAAGCAGUGGGAGCCUCUUUUAUGGGGUGACUGCGUACCUUUUGUAUAAUGGGUCAGCGACUUAUAUUCUGUAGCAAGGUUAACCGAAUAGGGGAGCCGAAGGGAAACCGAGUCUUAACUGGGCGUUAAGUUGCAGGGUAUAGACCCGAAACCCGGUGAUCUAGCCAUGGGCAGGUUGAAGGUUGGGUAACACUAACUGGAGGACCGAACCGACUAAUGUUGAAAAAUUAGCGGAUGACUUGUGGCUGGGGGUGAAAGGCCAAUCAAACCGGGAGAUAGCUGGUUCUCCCCGAAAGCUAUUUAGGUAGCGCCUCGUGAAUUCAUCUCCGGGGGUAGAGCACUGUUUCGGCAAGGGGGUCAUCCCGACUUACCAACCCGAUGCAAACUGCGAAUACCGGAGAAUGUUAUCACGGGAGACACACGGCGGGUGCUAACGUCCGUCGUGAAGAGGGAAACAACCCAGACCGCCAGCUAAGGUCCCAAAGUCAUGGUUAAGUGGGAAACGAUGUGGGAAGGCCCAGACAGCCAGGAUGUUGGCUUAGAAGCAGCCAUCAUUUAAAGAAAGCGUAAUAGCUCACUGGUCGAGUCGGCCUGCGCGGAAGAUGUAACGGGGCUAAACCAUGCACCGAAGCUGCGGCAGCGACACUAUGUGUUGUUGGGUAGGGGAGCGUUCUGUAAGCCUGUGAAGGUGUGCUGUGAGGCAUGCUGGAGGUAUCAGAAGUGCGAAUGCUGACAUAAGUAACGAUAAAGCGGGUGAAAAGCCCGCUCGCCGGAAGACCAAGGGUUCCUGUCCAACGUUAAUCGGGGCAGGGUGAGUCGACCCCUAAGGCGAGGCCGAAAGGCGUAGUCGAUGGGAAACAGGUUAAUAUUCCUGUACUUGGUGUUACUGCGAAGGGGGGACGGAGAAGGCUAUGUUGGCCGGGCGACGGUUGUCCCGGUUUAAGCGUGUAGGCUGGUUUUCCAGGCAAAUCCGGAAAAUCAAGGCUGAGGCGUGAUGACGAGGCACUACGGUGCUGAAGCAACAAAUGCCCUGCUUCCAGGAAAAGCCUCUAAGCAUCAGGUAACAUCAAAUCGUACCCCAAACCGACACAGGUGGUCAGGUAGAGAAUACCAAGGCGCUUGAGAGAACUCGGGUGAAGGAACUAGGCAAAAUGGUGCCGUAACUUCGGGAGAAGGCACGCUGAUAUGUAGGUGAAGUCCCUCGCGGAUGGAGCUGAAAUCAGUCGAAGAUACCAGCUGGCUGCAACUGUUUAUUAAAAACACAGCACUGUGCAAACACGAAAGUGGACGUAUACGGUGUGACGCCUGCCCGGUGCCGGAAGGUUAAUUGAUGGGGUCAGCGCAAGCGAAGCUCUUGAUCGAAGCCCCGGUAAACGGCGGCCGUAACUAUAACGGUCCUAAGGUAGCGAAAUUCCUUGUCGGGUAAGUUCCGACCUGCACGAAUGGCGUAAUGAUGGCCAGGCUGUCUCCACCCGAGACUCAGUGAAAUUGAACUCGCUGUGAAGAUGCAGUGUACCCGCGGCAAGACGGAAAGACCCCGUGAACCUUUACUAUAGCUUGACACUGAACAUUGAGCCUUGAUGUGUAGGAUAGGUGGGAGGCUUAGAAGUGUGGACGCCAGUCUGCAUGGAGCCGACCUUGAAAUACCACCCUUUAAUGUUUGAUGUUCUAACGUGGACCCGUGAUCCGGGUUGCGGACAGUGUCUGGUGGGUAGUUUGACUGGGGCGGUCUCCUCCUAAAGAGUAACGGAGGAGCACGAAGGUUGGCUAAUCCUGGUCGGACAUCAGGAGGUUAGUGCAAUGGCAUAAGCCAGCUUGACUGCGAGCGUGACGGCGCGAGCAGGUGCGAAAGCAGGUCAUAGUGAUCCGGUGGUUCUGAAUGGAAGGGCCAUCGCUCAACGGAUAAAAGGUACUCCGGGGAUAACAGGCUGAUACCGCCCAAGAGUUCAUAUCGACGGCGGUGUUUGGCACCUCGAUGUCGGCUCAUCACAUCCUGGGGCUGAAGUAGGUCCCAAGGGUAUGGCUGUUCGCCAUUUAAAGUGGUACGCGAGCUGGGUUUAGAACGUCGUGAGACAGUUCGGUCCCUAUCUGCCGUGGGCGCUGGAGAACUGAGGGGGGCUGCUCCUAGUACGAGAGGACCGGAGUGGACGCAUCACUGGUGUUCGGGUUGUCAUGCCAAUGGCACUGCCCGGUAGCUAAAUGCGGAAGAGAUAAGUGCUGAAAGCAUCUAAGCACGAAACUUGCCCCGAGAUGAGUUCUCCCUGACCCUUUAAGGGUCCUGAAGGAACGUUGAAGACGACGACGUUGAUAGGCCGGGUGUGUAAGCGCAGCGAUGCGUUGAGCUAACCGGUACUAAUGAACCGUGAGGCUUAACCUU